RNAcentral lists this ribosomal RNA (461 nucleotides) under uncultured archaeon. Its description in RNAcentral is "bacterial SSU rRNA". It matches the Rfam family "Archaeal small subunit ribosomal RNA", at positions 1 to 468 of the family's 1478-position model. The record is from RNAcentral.
UUCCGGUUGAUCCCGCCGGAAGUUACUGCUAUCGAGGUUCGACUAAGCCAUGCGAGUCGAAUGUAGCAAUACAUGGCGAACUGCUCAGUAACACGUGGACAACCUGCCCUUAGGUUGGGUAUAAACCCGGGAAACUGGGUAUAAUACCCGAUAGGUCUCGAUUGCUGGAAUGCAUCGAGAUUUAAAGCUCCGGCGCCUAAGGAUGGGUCUGCGGCCUAUCAGGUAGUAGUGGGUGUAGCGUACCUACUAGCCUACGACGGGUACGGGUUGUGAGAGCAAGAGCCCGGAGAUGGAUUCUGAGACACGAAUCCAGGCCCUACGGGGUGCAGCAGGCGCGAAAACUUUACAAUGCUGGCAACAGCGAUAAGGGAACCUCGAGUGCCAGGUUACAAAUCUGGCUGUCGAGAUGCCUAAAAAGCAUUUCAUAUCAAGGGCCGGGCAAGACCGGUGCCAGCCGCCGC